GCAGCGGAAAGCUCAGUAACACGUGGCCAAACUACCCUGUGGAUGGGAACAAUCUCGGGAAACUGAGGCUAAUUCCCAAUAACGCUCCACCCCUGGAACGGGCGGAGCUGGAAACGCUACGGCGCCACAGGAUGUGGCUGCGGUCGAUUAGGUAGACGGUGGGGUAACGGCCCACCGUGCCAAUAAUCGGUACGGGUUGUGAGAGCAAGAGCCCGGAGACGGAAUCUGAGACAAGAUUCCGGGCCCUACGGGGCGCAGCAGGCGCGAAACCUUUACACUGUACGCAAGUGCGAUAAGGGGACUCCGAGUGUGAAGGCAUAGAGCCUUCACUUUUGUACACCGUAAGGUGGUGUACGAAUAAGGGCUGGGCAAGACCGGUGCCAGCCGCCGCGGUAAUACCGGCAGCCCGAGUGAUGGCCGAUAUUAUUGGGCCUAAAGCGUCCGUAGCUGGCCGGACAAGUCCGUUGGGAAAUCUGUUCGCUUAACGAGCAGGCGUCCAGCGGAAACUGUUCGGCUUGGGACCGGAAGACCUGAGGGGUACGUCCGGGGUAGGAGUGAAAUCCUGUAAUCCUGGACGGACCACCGGUGGCGAAAGCGCCUCAGGAGGACGGAUCCGACAGUGAGGGACGAAAGCUAGGGUCUCGAACCGGAUUAGAUACCCGGGUAGUCCUAGCUGUAAACGAUGCCCGCUAGGUGUGGCGCAGGCUACGAGCCUGCGCUGUGCCGUAGGGAAGCCGAGAAGCGGGCCGCCUGGGAAGUACGUCUGCAAGGAUGAAACUUAAAGGAAUUGGCGGGGGAGCACUACAACCGGAGGAGCUGCGGUUUAAUUGGACUCAACGCGGACAUCUCACCAGCUCCGACAGUAGUAAUGACGGUCAGGUUGAUGACCUUACCCGAUGCUACUGAGAGGAGGUGCAUGGGCGCGUCAGCUCGUACCGUGAG
This 942-nucleotide ribosomal RNA is filed under the name Halobacterium sp. Its description in RNAcentral is "bacterial SSU rRNA". It matches the Rfam family "Archaeal small subunit ribosomal RNA", at positions 78 to 1020 of the family's 1478-position model. The record is from RNAcentral. Lineage: Archaea; Methanobacteriati; Methanobacteriota; Halobacteria; Halobacteriales; Halobacteriaceae.